Molecule: RNA transcript, 1250 nt
Organism: Carassius carassius (crucian carp)
Lineage: Eukaryota; Metazoa; Chordata; Actinopteri; Cypriniformes; Cyprinidae
Exons: 5
Source: RefSeq, a predicted model, not a curated record
AAGAGAACUUGAUGAUUAAGUUCAGGAUUUUGUACUUUGUACUUUUUAGUAUUAAACAUAGCCUACUAUUAUUAAACAAUAACAGAAUAUCUUCAUGAGAAUCCAUAUAUCACAUACCUUAACUUAUAAAUGUAGCCUACUAUCAACUAAUUUAAUGAAUCAUUCAAAUAUUCAAGUUUUUCUUUCUGUUGGCUUCGGUUUAUAUAAAAAACGUAGGCUAUACGUGAUGUUGUCAUAGUUUUAGAGGUUUGCGCAUAUAGCGUUAGAUGAAAGUGAAAGAAGGUUGAGCUUUUAUUAGAUGAAAGGGAAAGUGUUUCACAGUGACUCUUGAUUUGAACGACCAAACCGCAGCACUUAAAGCCUCUGAAGAAAAACUUACGGACAGACAAUGGAUCGUGCUGCACAAGACAUCAAGAAAUCUCUUAACAGGAAAGGCUUUAAGGAGGUCUCUUCCAUUCAGCAAUGUCAUUUCUUACUGUUUUUCUGCCCCAUUAUUUCUCGUGCUGGAACUGACAUCGACGCUGCAGUGAAGCACAUCAAUCAAGUGAAAGCUUCCAGUUUUCACAUAUCAGUGCCAGUCAUCAUGGUGGUGCUCCAUCACACUUUUGACCCAGAGAAACUUAUACUAGACAGCAACAAUGUUAUAGCGAGCGAGUACAUAUCUGCAGUGGACUGUCUGUUCGAUGACAAUGGAUUACUGGCUGGAUGUCAGAAGAAUACGAAUGCAAUCAAUACAAUUGCAAGGGACUCAGAAUUAAAGAACUGGACUUUAUAUCAUUGCCUGAAAAACCAAUACGCAGAAAAUGAGCACUUAAUCCCUGACAGACCAGUGCCGGAUCAGGGGAGAACCAUUCAUUUCUUCGGGUGUGAUGUACCCAGAAUUUUAAUAGUUUUUUGUGUUUGUUUUUUUGUUUUUGUUCUGAUUUGUCUGAUUGUUCUGCUAACAAUUUUGCUGAAAUAAAACAAAGAAUGAAAGGACCAUUUUUGUAAUUAUCAGAAGAAAUUGUUCAGUGGUAAUUGUAGUAAUAAUGCAUUGCAUGAAGAUAAUUAAACAUUGAACAUAAAUAAUUAACAGGUUCUUUGAUAAUAUGUGUAUGUAAACCAUAAUUAUAUAGGGAAAAUAGCCUAUUCAUUAAGUUCACUUUAAGUGUUUUGUGAUUAAGUGUAUUGAAUCAAUCACACUCAAAUAUUUGCAUGUCAGUCUAAAAAAAGGUUGUUGUUCGCAAAACGUAAAUAAACAGCUGUUUGAC